UUUUCUUCAGGAGCGACUGAGGAGCAAAGACUGGGGACAUUGUCCAUAGCGGAGUUAGCAAAAUGCUAACUUAUGGAAGUACUCAAACACAGCGCCGACCAGUGACUCCUGACACAGAAAUACACCAACUAGACCGGCUGAGAACCAGGGUCAGCAGGCCUGGGAUCACUGCUGAGCUCCAGAUGGGACCUUUGGAUUCAAGCCUGGAAGCAACAGUAUAAUGUGACAGGGAUACUGCAUGGGAACUGAAAGACUGGAGGAUCUGGGGAGGGUUUAGUCAACAGGCUGUAUCUGGGCACAUGUUGUCCUCAUGUGCAAACCAAUCUGACAUAACUUCUGUAAAUCAUAAGUUGCCCAGUGGACAUGACAGACUCUGGCUAAUAAACAUGCACUGUUUCCUUGGUGGAGCAUGCCACUGACUGUUGCUUAAAAUAGAUAACUGUAAACAGUAAACAACAUAAUCAAAUCUAUAAUGUAAUAAUUUAACUAUUUCUACUUUACAGUUUAGUCAGAUCCAGUGGUUGAAUGUAACUAAGUAUAUUUACUCAAGUACUGUAAUUACAUUUACAAGGAAGAUAGAUACUAUAAUGAUAAUGAUAAGAUGUAAACAUAGGCAUUAUACAUGUUUGGAGAAUUUCUCAUUCCACUGUGAAUAGAAUACACAUAUUAUUCAAUACAUUAUUGAGAUGUUUACUUUAUUUUGCUUCUAUUUGAUCCAUGCAUGUAAAUAAGCCAUAUCAGUAACUGUCCAGAAGAUGGCAAUCAUCAGUUGCACAGAAUCUGUAGUUUUACAUCUGUAUUCAUUAUGUACCUGUUAAAAUGAAUAGUAAUGAGAUAUAAUACCCUACACUAUAAACAGGAGCUCUCUUCCAGAUAAGAUUCUACAUUUGGUGUAGUCAAGGCUGGACUGCCAACUGGGCAGGGGCCUCAAAAACCCAAAGUUUAUUCCAGUUUGAGUUUAAAUAAUUUAAUAAAUUGCAAGAUUUUUUCGAAAUUUGAUACAGUUGAAGUACAAUAUCUAUGACUAUGACUAUAGCAGGUCCUCCAUCCUUCAUUUUGUGGUUCUGGUCAUGUAGAGGGACUCUAUGUGAAAGUCUGGUCUUAAGACCUUCAUUGUUUUUGUUUACAUUGUGCUUGUUUGUUGUAAUGUUGUAUUAUAUUGUAUUGCCACCAUUCUUUCUGUGUGUCAUGUAAUUAAAAUACAGAAAACCCUGGGAUGAAUGUUGUAGUAAUCCAUCACAUGAGUAUUGUAAGGCCGCAACCAACAAUUAUCUUCAUUAUCAAUACAUCUGACAAUGAUUUUCUGUCUCAAUCAAUUGAUUGUUAAGUGGAUAAAAUGUUGAAAAAAAUUGUGUCUACAGGUGAGAAAGAGGA
Molecule: long non-coding RNA, 1374 nt
Organism: Lates calcarifer (barramundi perch)
Lineage: Eukaryota; Metazoa; Chordata; Actinopteri; Centropomidae
Exons: 3
Source: RefSeq, a predicted model, not a curated record